RNAcentral lists this ribosomal RNA (497 nucleotides) under uncultured bacterium. RNAcentral describes it as "partial 16S ribosomal RNA". It matches the Rfam family "Bacterial small subunit ribosomal RNA", at positions 28 to 507 of the family's 1533-position model. The record is from RNAcentral.
GAUGAACGCUGGCGGCGUGCCUAAUACAUGCAAGUAGAACGCUGAAGGAAGGAGCUUGCUCUUUCCGGAUGAGUUGCGAACGGGUGAGUAACGCGUAGGUAACCUGCCUGGUAGCGGGGGAUAACUAUUGGAAACGAUAGCUAAUACCGCAUAACAGUAGAUGUUGCAUGAUAUCUACUUAAAAGGUGCAAUUGCACCACUACCAGAUGGACCUGCGUUGUAUUAGCUAGUUGGUGAGGUAACGGCUCACCAAGGCGACGAUACAUAGCCGACCUGAGAGGGUGGUCGGCCACACUGGGAAUGGGACACGGCCCAGACUCCUACGGGAGGCAGCAGUAGGGAAUCUUCGGCAAUGGACGGAAGUCUGACCGAGCAACGCCGAGUGAGUGAAGAAGGUUGUCGGAUCGUAAAGCUCUGUUGUAAGAGAAGAACGAGUGUGAGAGUGGAAAGUUCACACUGUGACGGUAUCUUAACAGAAAGGGACGGCUAACUACGUG